UUUGUUUUGGCGUGACCAUGGUAGUGCUUCUGUUUGAGAAUCCUGGUUUGUGUUUGCUCAUCCAAAACCAUGUUGAAGUUAAGACUUCCUGUUGUCUUCUGGGGACCCAGUAGUGAGGACCUGCCUGGAUUUAACUCUGUGCUGGCCCAGCUUGGCUCUGUGGCUUCAAGAUCCACCAUUCGCUCCUGCACUUAUAACCACAGAGGCCACACCAACAUGUACUUCAGUGGACCUAUCACUUCCUGCUGUCUCCCAUGGCAUCAGGGAAGAGACAGAUUCUCCAGGGGCAUCCUGUUGUGGCUCAGGGUUUGGGCCAUAUAAGGAUGCAUCCAGUACAAAAGACCAAAUACAAAUAUAUAGAAUUGUCAUUUGACAAA
Ornithorhynchus anatinus (platypus) is the source of this 377-nucleotide long non-coding RNA. RefSeq lists it as uncharacterized. Lineage: Eukaryota; Metazoa; Chordata; Mammalia; Monotremata; Ornithorhynchidae. The transcript is spliced from 2 exons. The record is from RefSeq and is a predicted model, not a curated record.